UCAUGGCUCAGAGUGAACGCGGCGGCGUGCUUAACACAUGCAAGUCGAACGCGAAAGGGGGAGCAAUCCUCCAGUAGAGUGGCGAACGGGUGAGUAAUGUGUGAGCAACCUGCCUUUCGGAGUGGGACAACCCGGGGAAACCUGGGCUAAUACCGCAUAAAGUCCGGGGGCUUCGGCCCUCCGGCCCAAAAGAUGGCCUCUGCUUGCAAGCUAUCGCCGGGAGAUGGGCUCACAUCCUAUCAUGCUUGUUGGUGAGGUAACGGCUCACCAAGGCGGUGACGGGUAGCCGGCCUGAGAGGGUGUCCGGCCACACUGGAACUGAGACACGGUCCAGACUCCUACGGGAGGCAGCAGUGGGGAAUAUUUCGCAAUGGGCGCAAGCCUGACGAAGCAACGCCGCGUGGAGGAUGACGGCCCUAGCAGUCUUAAACUCCUGUCUAGUGGGACGAAAGGUUUGCGGGGAAAUACCCGCAGUAUUUGACGGGUACCGUCUGAGAAGCCGGCCAAAUUCCAGUC
This 516-nucleotide ribosomal RNA is filed under the name uncultured bacterium. Its description in RNAcentral is "bacterial SSU rRNA". It matches the Rfam family "Bacterial small subunit ribosomal RNA", at positions 17 to 509 of the family's 1533-position model. The record is from RNAcentral.